GCCGACUGUCCCCCCAAGGCUCCAGGGUGAGCAGGUGCACGCUAGGAGGCAGGUUCACCCCUAGGCCACCCCACUGAGGAGAACCAACCAGUGAGAAGAGAAGCCUGGCUGCAACUGUACUGUGUCAAUGCAUUCUUGCCAUGUUGGCCCAGGUGUGUGCCGAGGUGGCGGUCUCUUCAAAGGCAUAGAGCGGCGGCAGUAGCAGCUCCUCUCCCAGCGUGCGGUGCAGGCAGCCAAAGUCGCACUCAGGGGUGGCAAGGUUACUGUAGGGACGACAGCCAGUGUGACAGACAACACUAUAAAAUCAACAACCUAAUUUUUAACGGUUAUUAGCAAGUGAUAAAUUAGUGGCAUACUGCACCUCACUGACCCCAACACUGUGCUUACCUGUGGAUGAGGUAGUGUUUGCCACGCACCACCAGACCCUCGCCAAACUGUGUCUCAUUGAGAGGCUCACCCACCCCAAAGGCAUCGUCAUGGAGGAGGCGCCGGUGGACCAUCAGCUCCAUCUGUCCUGGGUUGAGGGACGUGCCACCCUGUGAAGGAUGAGGCAAGCAUUAAUGACUGGACCAGAUGUGUCAAGUGUCCCAAGUAGCAUGAUGCCUACCUGGGAGCGGUCGGUGAGGAUGGCCGCCCUCAGACCUGUGCUGUUGCCCAGGAUAAGGCGAGAGUUGACUGGGUAGUAAUUG
Portunus trituberculatus (swimming crab) is the source of this 689-nucleotide long non-coding RNA. RefSeq lists it as uncharacterized. The record is from RefSeq and is a predicted model, not a curated record. NCBI's taxonomy places the organism in Eukaryota, Metazoa, Arthropoda, Malacostraca, Decapoda, Portunidae. The transcript has 4 exons.